This 253-nucleotide ribosomal RNA is filed under the name uncultured bacterium. RNAcentral describes it as "partial 16S ribosomal RNA". It matches the Rfam family "Bacterial small subunit ribosomal RNA", at positions 524 to 776 of the family's 1533-position model. The record is from RNAcentral.
UACGUAGGGAGCAAGCGUUGUUCGGAUUUACUGGGCGUAAAGGGCGCGUAGGCGGCGCGGUAAGUCACUUGUGAAAUCUCUGAGCUUAACUCAGAACGGCCAAGUGAUACUGCAGUGCUAGAGUGCAGAAAGGGCAAUCGGAAUUCUUGGUGUAGCGGUGAAAUUCGUAGAUAUCAGGAGGAACACCGGUGGCGAAGGCGGCCAUCUGGACGACAACUGACGCUGAGACGCGAAAGCGUGGGGAGCAAACAGG